CUCUCCGGCGUGAACGCUCUCCCCCUGGUCAGGUGACCAGCGGAACGCAUGCACGGACGCCAUGGGUUGGACGAUCGUCUCCCAACCGCAUGUUUCACCACCCUCAAAAUCACACCACUCAUCCACUGCGUCAAAAGAAGGCGCUCAUCCUCACAAGGGUCGCUGAAGCCUAUUCUGGCUGACUUCAGGCGAAAGGCGGACGACACCCAGAAUUGGUCGCCAGGCAUGUUGCAGAUCACAAGUCAACACCAUCACUGAGCGGGAAUCAAUCGCACGCCCACUACGCCAUCGGCGACACUAGUGUAAACUUUAAGCUGUCGGCAGACCCAAACGGAGGACUUAUCAGCUGUGCCGUGGUAGCUUGUCCUCUUCGAGGUGCAAGCGACAGGAAAUGUGCUGGAGAAUUCAACACGUGGAAGUGUGAGUGAGUCAACUGUGUUCGGUUUAUUUAU
Long non-coding RNA from Syngnathoides biaculeatus (alligator pipefish), 452 nucleotides. RefSeq lists it as uncharacterized. The transcript has 3 exons. NCBI's taxonomy places the organism in Eukaryota, Metazoa, Chordata, Actinopteri, Syngnathiformes, Syngnathidae. The record is from RefSeq and is a predicted model, not a curated record.